GCGCCCAUAGCUCAAUGGCAGAGCUGCUCCCUCUUAAGGAGAAGGUUGCAGGUUCGAGUCCUGCUGGGCGCA
This 72-nucleotide transfer RNA is filed under the name bacterium. RNAcentral describes it as "tRNA-Lys". It matches the Rfam family "tRNA". From Rfam's summary of the family: Transfer RNA (tRNA) molecules are approximately 80 nucleotides in length. Their secondary structure includes four short double-helical elements and three loops (D, anti-codon, and T loops). The record is from RNAcentral.